RNAcentral lists this non-coding RNA (30 nucleotides) under Mus musculus (house mouse). Lineage: Eukaryota; Metazoa; Chordata; Mammalia; Rodentia; Muridae. The record is from RNAcentral.
UNGAGGUUGACCCUGCCUGAUGCUCUGUCC